Molecule: long non-coding RNA, 3014 nt
Filed under: Homo sapiens (human)
Lineage: Eukaryota; Metazoa; Chordata; Mammalia; Primates; Hominidae
Description: HSALNT0226731
Source: RNAcentral
GUCCCCUUUUCAAAAUUAAAAUUAAUGACAUCUACACUCAGCAACCACACACAUGGGCGGGGGGCACCGUUCUUGGAGCUACUGCAAUACCAGGUCGAUGCAUGGAGUGAACUAAGUAAGCUGCUAUUGCAACCCCCUCCUACAAAAAUCCACUUUAUAUACAUUUUUUUAGACAGGGUCUCAUCAUGUCACCCACUCUGGAGCUCAGUGGUGCCAUCAUGGCUGACUGCAGCCUUGACUUCCUGGGCUCAGGCAAUCCUCCAGCCUCAGCCUCUUGAGUAGCUGGACUAUAGGUGAGCUCAGGUGAUCCUCCUGGCUCAGCUUCCCCAGUAGCUGGGACUACAGGCACGCACCACCACACCUAGCUAAUUUUUGUAUUUUUUUGUAGAGUCAGUGUCUCACUAUGUUGCCCAGGCUGGCCCCCACUGGGUUGGCCUCUGUCAUACACCCCGCGGCACCCAGACUCCUCGGUGGCCCUUAGCCUCAGGUUCAUAGACUCAUCAGUCAGGGAUUUCUAUGUUUCCUCUGUGGCUCUGCGGGGGAUGGGUUGUGACCUGUUUACCACUAGAUCCCGGGAACCCUGCUUGGGCCUGUACAUCAAAGUCCCCAAGAAGUGAAGGAGCAAGAAAGUGGCAGAAUUUUUAAAAUUUUCAAUUUAAUUUAAAAAAUUAAUGUUUUAAAAUUUGUGUUUGGAUUUAAAAUGUGAAUGGAUAUCCAUAAUUGCAUUUUUUUUUUUUUGAGAUGGGGUCUCGCUCUGUCGCCCAGGCUGGAGUGCAAUGGCAUGAUCUCGGCUUACUGCAACCUCCACCUCCUGGGUUCAAGUGAUUCUCCUGCCUCAGCCUCCCGAGUAGAUGAGAUUACAGAUGCCCACUGCCACGCCUGGCCAAUUUUUUGUAUUUUUUAGUAGAGACAGGGUUUCACCAUGUUGGCUAGGCUUGUCUCCAACUCCUGACCUCAGGUGAUUCACCUGCCUCAGCCUCCCAAAGUACUGGGAUUACAGGCGUGACCAUGACCGGCCAUAAUUGCAAUUUUUUAAACAGUUAUUUGUUUUUUGAGAUGGAGACUCACUCUGUCACUCAGGCUGGAGUGCAGUGGUGUGAUCUCAGCUCACUGCAACCUCCACCUCCCGGGUUGAAGCCAUUCUCCUGCCUCAGUCUCCCGAGUAGCUGGGACUAGAGGCACCCACCACCACACCUGGCUAAUUUUUGUAUUUUUUUUUAGUAAAGACGGGGUUUCGCCAUGUUGGCCAGGCUGGUCUUGAAAUCCUGACCUCAGCUGGUCCGCCCGCCUCAGCCUCCCGAAGGCAGGGAUUACAGGCAUGAGCCACUGCACCUGGCCUAUUAUUUCAAUUUUAAUAUCAAAUUGCUAACACUAGGCUGGGCACGGUGGCUUGUACCUGUAAUCCCAGCACUUUGGGAGGCCGAGAUGGGAAGAUCGCUUGAGCCCAAGAGUUUGAGACCAGCCUGGGCAACACAGCGAGACCCCAUCUCCUCAAAAACUCAAAAAAGUAGCCUGCCUGUAGUCUCAGCUGCUCAGGAGGCUGAGGUGGGAGGAUGAUUGCUUGAGCCUGGAAGGUCUGCUGCACUACAGCCUGGGCAACAGAGCAGGACCCUGUCCCUGUCUCGAAAAAAAAAUAAAAAUAAAAGUAAAAAUAAAAAAUAAAGAACAGGAGAGGGGCUCCGGGAUAUGGGUGGCAAAAAAAGGCAACAUGGGGUCCUAACCUGGCCAUUUUUGUCCUCACUGCUCACUGGGAUGUGGUGUGGAUGAUGCUGGGUGAUAUCACGGAACCAGCGGCGAUCCUCUCAGGCACACUCGCAUUAACAUGGCUAUGACUGGGAAGGGUGUGCUCAGAGGUGCAGGCAGAAUGGUUUUGGAGUCUGCUGCCUGCAUUUGGAUGGUUUGGCAAAAGAGAAGUGUGUGGAGGAGAGACAGAGGGAGGGAGAGAGAAAAAAGAGGAGAGAGAGAGGGAAGGAGAGCCGGGGAACCCAGGCCAGGGCGAUACAGUAUGCACUGCGUGCUCCUGCAACUUUUAUGCUCCAAAUGUUUCAAAAUAAAACCAGAGGGUGAGGAAAACAGUGAUGUGGCCAGGCCCAGUGUGCAGGCUCCAGCUCCCCAGUAUGCGUCUCCCUCCCGGCCGACUGCCAGCGCCACUGAAAGACUCAGGCCCAGGGCACCUUUGUCAUUCCCCCAACUCCACUAAAAGGUGGCAGCAAAAAUGCUCCCCCGCUCCCGGCCCUGCUGCUCCACAGCCACCCCUCACUGCUGGGUAAGGCUUCCCAGGCAACAGCAGGAGGGGCCCGAUGGUGCCACACUGAGUACAGGGCAGACGCGCCCCACAGUGACCCUGCCCUCUGACCCACCCCGGCCUCCUCUUCCUCACUCCCACUUCUUGAGGUUGCACCCGAAACGUCCUGCCCUGACAUCCUCAGGUGUCCUUAACAUCUGACAAGAACAGACAGCCAAGGGUACUUGGGAACAGGCCUGGAGCAGUUGUCAAAGAAUGAGGACUCAUGGGAAGCCUCCUGGAGGCUCGCUGACUUGGGAGCUCAAGUAGGGUAGCUGUGCUUCCUUCAUCUCCCCUCCAGCAGGGAUGGCACCCAGGGGGCCAGGGCAGGAACUCAGGUUUCCUCAGCCCACAAAUCCCCUGGAAAAAACAUGACAGGCAGGCCGCAUGUGCUUUUGUCAGGUUCCUCCCUGAACCCACCCAUGAGCUGCAGGCCUACCUCUCCCUCAGCAGAAUCCUGGAGCUACCAUUCUCAGCAAGCCUGAGCUCCCUUAGUGCCUGGGAGCUGUCAGUCUGGGAGGCUUCAUGGAGGAAGCGAGACUUGGGUCAGGGAGGGCAGUGACUAAGGGGCACUUUGGAAGGGCCCAGUAAGGGCUGGGGUGCGGAGACCCAGGGGUGGUGGCAUCAGAGCUGAGCCUCAAAGGACCCAGAAGCCUGGGAUGUUUAAAACCUGCCCAUUAUGGGGUCUAGCGAACAGCUUCUUUUAUUCUUGUUUGAAAGUAUUUUUCUG